RNA transcript from Zeugodacus cucurbitae (melon fly), 6710 nucleotides. It is a transcript of the gene named poly(ADP-ribose) glycohydrolase, with no coding region annotated. The transcript has 7 exons. The record is from RefSeq and is a predicted model, not a curated record. NCBI's taxonomy places the organism in Eukaryota, Metazoa, Arthropoda, Insecta, Diptera, Tephritidae.
UGCAAAACUGGGCAGCACUUUUAAGCAAAAGUGCCAAUAUUUAUCAAAGCAAAUUCUGAGAAAUAAACAAUUAAAAACCAAGUGUGAUGUUUUUAUAGCGAAUUUGUUUUAUUAUUAAAUGGAAAAGCUAUAUCAGUGUCUUAUAAAAAAAUUUGUUAUGAAUCACAUUAAUAGUUUUUAAGUGAGCUUGUCACAGAACAGCUGUCGUAUCUUAAAUUCUCCAAUUCUCCGCACACAGCGGAUUUUUUUGUGUGCUGGAAUUUUUCAUUGACAGAUAAGAAAUUGUUUAUCCGUAAAAAUUUUGCGCAAAUUCCAACAAACUAUAUACGAGUCUGCAAUUAACUGCAGACGUAUAGCAAUAAUUACUUGUGUUCGUACAAUGGCAGAAGGAGGUAAUUGCAGUAAUACUAGUGUCGGGAAUGGUGUUUGUAAUGAAAACAGUUCUGAAACUCCCAGUACGGAGGAGCAAUGGCGUGGUUGUGCGAUGGAAGAAAUAUAUCGCGGUAUGAAUGAAUUCGAAUUGGAUCAUGUGCCAGCGGUGCGGCCCAGUGAUUCACAUACAGUGCUUUAUCAUUGCCCAAUACAUGAGCCUGACAAUGUGCCGCCACGACCACUACGCGCUCAUCAUAAAUGGGAUGCCACACAUGUGCGGCUACCAUGUUCCAGUAAAAGUCAAUAUCCAGUAACGGCGGCAGAUGGUAGUUCCACAAUAGAAGCGCGUUGGGAAAUGAUUGAGAAAGCAUUGCUGCAGCCAAUUACCAAUAGCAAAGAACUACAAGCGGCAAUACUUUCAUACAAUACUAAAUAUGAAGGCCAAUGGAAUUUUCGUUCACUACAUCGACUUUUUGAAGAUGAUCUAGAUGAGAGUGAAUCGCGUGUGUUUUUUGAAGAUCUGCUACCGCGUAUCAUACGCUUGGCGCUACGCUUACCCGAAUUGGUGCAAGCGCCAAUUCCUUUACUCAAGCAGGGGCAGAAUCAUUCAGUGACAUUAUCUCAACAGCAGAUAUCUUGUCUCUUGGCCAAUGCGUUCCUGUGCACGUUCCCCCGGCGGAAUACAAUGAAAAAGCGUUCAGAAUAUAGCGCAUUUCCGGAUAUCAAUUUUAAUAGGCUCUUUCAAAGUAGUGGAAAGUCUGUUAUAGAAAAAAUUAAAUGUAUCUGUCAUUACUUCCGACGUGUGUGUCCAACAGAACGUGAUAGCUCUAAUGUACCCACUGGUGUGGUGACAUUUACACGUCGUAGCUUAGAGCCCAAAGAACUGCCUAACUGGGCCGAAUGUAAAGCACCAUUAGGUGCCACACCUUUACACAUCACUUCUGAUGGUACCAUUGAAGAUCAGGGUUUCGGUUUGCUGCAAGUUGAUUUCGCUAAUAAAUAUCUUGGUGGCGGAGUACUCGGUUCUGGUUGUGUACAAGAAGAAAUACGAUUUGUAAUUUGUCCUGAACUGCUGCUCUCCAAGUUAUUUACAGAGUGUCUGCGUCCCACCGAGGCACUACUGAUGGUUGGCACUGAACGUUUUAGCGACUAUAGUGGUUAUGCCGGCACCUUUGAAUGGGCGGGCAAUCAUGAGGACAACAUACCACGCGAUAGCUCAAGACGACGUCAAACGCAUAUAGUGGCGAUUGAUGCGCUACAUUUUAUGCAAUCACAACACCAAUAUCGAGAAGAUCUGAUAAAGCGGGAAUUAAAUAAGGCUUAUGUCGGCUUUCAACACACGUUGAGCACGCCGGCACCCGGUGUGGCAUCCGGUAAUUGGGGCUGUGGUGCAUUUGGCGGUGAUCCCCGGCUGAAAGCAUUACUGCAAUUAAUGGUGUGUACCGUAACACAACGCCCGCUUGUAUACUUCACCUUUGGCGACGCAGAAUUGCGCGAUGAAGUGCACCGCAUGCACACAUUCUUACUGGAACGUAAUGUGUGCGUAAAGGAUUUGUGGAAUUUGCUCACUAGCUACCAAAGUCAAAAUAUGCCCGGCAAUGAACUGUAUAACUUCAUCUACGGCUGCAUUAGUAACACAUUAAAGCGCAGUCCGAAGACGAAGUUGGUGUCACCAAAGAGUAAAAAUAAGCUUAGUUUCUUAACCAAUUGGUUGAAACCGAAACAACAAACCAUUGCUAAGGAAGCGCCAAUUUCCACAACAGCAACACGGCGAACAAAUUUAAGUGAAGAUAUUUUCGCCUCUACUUCUGAAUCGGAAGUAGAAGCGAACGUAGAGGCGACUGCAAUCACAAUUUCUUCAACGAGUACUACGAACUGCCCGCCAGUAGAAAAAGAAGAAGAAGAAGAAGCAAAGCAGAAUGUGGCGCAACUCACGACAGUCGAUCUAACAAACCAAUCACAAUCAAAUGAUAGUAUUGUUAAUCUGCUGAAUAGUGAAGAGUCUGUACUUGAUGAAUUAGAAAGUACUGAAAUACAAAUAACGGGAUCCAAUAAUAAUACAUCAACGGAGAACUCAAAUAUCGCCGCAUCGACAGCGAAACCUACAGGUGCACGCCAACGUUCGCUAUUGGAGAUGUUAGACCAAUGUUAUACGACAAAAUCAAGCAAUGGUCCAGCUACAAAGCGUAUAUGUCUAAAUAAAACCAGCAACCCAAACUCAACAACACCGACAAAGCAACAAUAAUGGUUAUGAAAUAUAUGAUUAAAAACUAUAAAUAAUUGCCUAGCAAAGAAUCAAGCGUAAACGCAUCAUUACACAGCCAGCUAACUAUAUAUAUCGCCCUAUAUAAUGCAAGUAGUGUAGACGAAGUGCCGAUUGCUAUUACAUACAUAAAUAUAUUUUUUAUUGAAGCACCGUUGCAUUAUUGAAAGCUUUCGCUUGUCUAUACAUAUGUAUGUAUGACGUGACGUCUUCGCGCUAAAUUUUGUUUCGCGCAAUAACAAUAACAACAACAGCAAUAGCAGCAGCAGCGCUCGCAUACAGCGCAAACAAAGUGCAUUGCACUCCUGCAAAUUUCGCUAAAAAUAAAUGCAUACGGCAAUGUAAGAAACGCGACUGUGAAACAUGUGCGCCUGUUAUCGCCGUUACACGAUGCACUUGUGUACACAACAUGUUGCUUGCUUGCAUGACUUACGUAGCGUCGUAACGUAGCCAUCGUACGUGUGCAUAUCGUUCGAGAAUAAUACAUUUGCAAUUCAUGUUUUUUUGUUUUUGUUUUUGUUUUUGUUUAUACCGGUCAGAAUGUGUGCGAUGUUAACUUAAUUAUUUAUUACGGUUUGUUAUGACUGUCGCUGCGUAAUAAUGUGUGUGUGUGUGUCAGCGUGAAGUGUGCGUGAUCGUAAUAGCACGGCGUCUAGUUGCUAAAAUUAAAUUUUACUAUGUUGUUCAAUAAAAAAAGUUUGUUUACUAUCAACUCAAAUACAAUAUAUUCUGCGCUGAUUAGAAUACUACAUAUUUGUAUGCCGGCGCAAAGAUAAGAGCAAGUGAUGCUUAACGAGCAAAACACUUAGGCUAAUUUCACAAUAAGUACUCGCGUAACCCUUUUGUGUGUUUUUGAGUGUUAUUUUUAUACUUUCUACUUUAAUUUACUGAUAAGUGUCAACAAAGUGUGCCAAUAAUAACUGUUGUUUUCACCAACUCAAGGAUAUUGAAAACAACACCACUCAUCGAUUGCUUGAAAUACCACAAAUCCAAUACAGCGUAAACAGCACUUAUGCACUUGGGUAGGCUCGUUCUUUGCACUGUGUGUACGCUUGCGACUGCAUGAUUUCAUUUGCGGCUUACGAGCUGAUAAGCCACCAGCGUCUGCUGAUAUCAACUGCCAAAAAUACGCGUUAUCAGCAGCGCGCUUGUUAUUUUUAUAUUUUUUUAUACAUAUUUACUCGCGUUCUGCUUUUAAUCUCUGCGUUUGUAAGCAAAUAAAACCGCAAUUCACCAUAAUUAUGGCAUUUAAUAAAUUUUUAUUGCCAUCACGAAGUCUUCGAACGGUUCGGGCGGUGAAGUGUAGCACAUGCUGCAGCAUGACAUCAACAGCAUCAAGGUCAAAUGUACAGCCGUUGACUGACAUUAGAAUGAAAAAAUAAUGAAAAGUAAAAAUGUUGACUUAAGCAACGUAUAGAAUUUGAAUUACAAACAAUAAUUUUUAUCAGACAUGAUUCAAGAAAGCAUGCAAAAUUUAAUUUAAAAUAUUCUCAAAUCAUUUUCAUCACAUGACGUCACAAUAUCAUUUACAUUCAAAAAACUAUAAAGCCAUAUCCAUAUAAAUUUAAUAAAAGCAGAGUCACACUGAAAAGGAGUUAUGCUGAGCAGUGGACGCACCUUUUUUUCCGAGGUUUCACCGGGAAUAACGUCAAAAUGGAGUAGUUUUAGUAGUUUUUUUUAUUUCAAAAAUUAUUCAUUAAAUAUGUAUCUAUAAGACAGAAAAAGUUUGAAUUAAAUAGAUAAUUUUUUACAUAAAAAAAUCAUUGAAAAAAUAACUUUUUACCCGACCAAACCCAUGUAACGCCUUAAGGAAUGUCGCCACAUAGUAUUUAUAUUUGAUGCUUUUCUAAUUGUGACACAAAGGUGUGAAAGCCUUUAUACGCCAAACCAGCUUCACUAUUUUCAAACUGAAUCGUUGCCUUAGAGUUCUAUCUUUCAAGAUCUUCAAGUAAUGUGUUCAAAUCUGAUGUGGUUCGCAAAGAGAGAGGCGUCAGCCAUGAUACUUUCACGGUCUUUUGUAGUAAAUGCAUAGUAUACGCCUAGUCCUUAAAAAUAUAUCGUUUCUAUCCAUAACUUUGGUUUUUAGAGAUUUGUUUUAUAUUUGGACUCGUUGCAUUUCGUUUUUAGUUUCUUCAGUAUUUUAUUCCCGUCAAAUUGUAAAAGAUUUCUGUCUGUAAAUAUUCUUAUUAAUUCAUCAGAUUCUCAAUAGUUAUACAGAAGAUAUUUGCACCGUUUCUUUGAGAGUUUUGGUGUGGCGACCAUAAGUACUAUUUGGAAUUACAGUGGAACUUCUCUAACUCGAAUCACCAUAAUCCGUAAACAAACUUCGAGUUAGAAAGACUUCGAGUUAUAAAAUUUUAAUUAAAACUCAAAAUUUUUCAAAAAGCUGUAAAAUAUGGAUUUACCCACAGUUUUAUUUAUUUACUUCACAUAAAGUUUUAUGUACCAUACGGUAAAACGUGUAUUCUGUAAUUUUGUUUGUUGAAGUUUGCUAUUGUUUUGCUCUUGACGUCUGUAUUCCAUGUCUUUGUUACAAGAUUUAUACAAUUCACAAGUGUAAUAUCAUAUUUUUAUGUUCGCCUCCAUACGAUAUAGAGGGACUCUUUUAAAAUUCUACCUCGAUAGUAAAAUUUUAAAAUUUGUGUUAUACCCUGGUCGAAAUUUCGAUUAAUGUAAGUUCCACUGUAUUUGAAUCGCUUAGAAUUAUUAUACGGUGGAUUUUCACAUCAAACUCGUUUCGUUUCCAAAUCAUAAGUACGAGUUCUAGAGAGUCACAUAGAAAUUAAUAGAAUUUGUUUGGAGGAAGGUCAGGCAGAUGUUUUUUCAAUAUUCGUCUGGCUUAAAUACAACAAAAACAAUUAUGUUUGUUUAUUUCAUUUCGACUUCAAUGAUGAUUGAGGAGUAUUUACAUUUUUGUUUUUGCUUUUCGAACAAUGUGGAAGUCGAUGUGUAUGUUUAUGUUUAUGCCUGUUAGACAUUAAGUACCAUAUAAAGUAGAAACAAGUAAUAUAUUUGUAUGUUCACACUGUUCACUCUGUUCUUAUAUCAACAUUAUACAUAUAUGUAUGUUAAGUAUAUUAGAUUUUUUUAUACAUAUGUAUAUACUAAGUCAUUUAUAUGUCUGUUAUAUUUUGACCUUGUUACGCCAAUAUAAAAACAGCAAUAAACGUGUUUUUAACAAAUUCUCAGACAAUUGAAAAAUAUUUAAUUUAAAAAAUAUUAAUUUUGAAAUUAAUGUGAUUUGAUAACAUAUUUAUGUACAAAUUCCCAACUAAAAACCACGUGCUGACAGCCGAUGAAAUAAAAAUUUAUUAUAAAUGGCAAAAGGAUGUUUAAAUCACCGAUCAAAUGGUGUGCAGAAAUAUGCUUUUGAUCAUAAAAAAACUAAAAAUAUUUGCUUUGAGAAGUAAACAAAUCUGUAUAAAAUUGACUUUGAAGUAUAAAAUUUAUUUGUAUAAAUUCAUUUUUGGAUACAAAUUUAUUGACUAUGUUAUAUAACUGCAUACAUAUAUACUAAAUAUGAUGGGAUAUUCCAAAAGAUACAACAUCUUUUACAGUCUUUGGCGUAUUAAUAGUGAAGACGCCGGCUCUUUCAUAUAUGUAUAUAUAUGUAUAUAUUUACUUAAACUAAGCACAUACAUAUGUAUGUGUGUCUACUUAUAUGAUAAGUGCUGUAAGUUCAGCUUUUAAAAUGCUUUCAAAAAUGCUUUCUUAUAAGUACGUGUAAGUAAAUAUAUUUUUAGUAUUGUUGUUGUUGUUGUUGUUGUUGGCGUCAAUAUGACACCCGUAUUAUAUGUAUGUAUGUAUGUAUGUUUGUUGUUAAGUAGUGUUCGUUUGUAUCGACUAAGUACACUCCAUACAACAACGGCAAUAAUGCGUAUUUAUAUUUCAAGUCCCGAAACUGGUUUCGCAACGUUGGCUUGGGUGUUGUCUCUCAACGGUUAAUGCUCCACUUUAACGCCAAUUUUAACCACAUUGCGGUUGCUGUUAUAAAUAUCGCGGUUUUUCACUUUUAAGAAUUCAAUUUUAUUUUUAUUUUCAAUUUUGUCUCAGCCAUACUUGGCGACAGUGUGUG